This 425-nucleotide ribosomal RNA is filed under the name uncultured bacterium. Its description in RNAcentral is "partial 16S ribosomal RNA". It matches the Rfam family "Bacterial small subunit ribosomal RNA", at positions 354 to 796 of the family's 1533-position model. The record is from RNAcentral.
UUGGGGGAUAUUGCACAAUGGGGGAAACCCUGAUGCAGCGACGCCGCGUGAAGGAAGACGUACUUCGGUAUGUAAACUUCUAUCAGCAGGGAAGAAGAUGACGGUACCUGACUAAGAAGCCCCGGCUAACUACGUGCCAGCAGCCGCGGUAAUACGUAGGGGGCAAGCGUUAUCCGGAUUUACUGGGUGUAAAGGGAGCGUAGACGGUGAAGCAAGUCUGAUGUGAAAACCCGGGGCUCAACUCCGGGAUUGCAUUGGAAACUGUUUUACUUGAGUGCUGGAGGGGCAAGCGGAAUUCCUGGUGUAGCGGUGAAAUGCGUAGAUAUCAGGAAGAACACCGGUGGCGAAGGCGGCUUGCUGGACAGUAACUGACGUUGAGGCUCGAAAGCGUGGGGAGCAAACAGGAUUAGAAACCCGAGUAGUCC